This 245-nucleotide ribosomal RNA is filed under the name uncultured bacterium. RNAcentral's name for it is "partial 16S ribosomal RNA". It matches the Rfam family "Bacterial small subunit ribosomal RNA", at positions 524 to 767 of the family's 1533-position model. The record is from RNAcentral.
GACGAACCGUGCAAACGUUAUUCGGAAUCACUGGGCUUAAAGCGCGUGUAGGCGGAUGGGAACGUCGGACGCUGAAAGCCCCCGGCUCAACCGGGGAAGGGGCGCCGAAACGACCCGUCUCGAGGCACGUAGGGGGACCUGGAACUUCCGGUGGAGCGGUGAAAUGCGUUGAGAUCGGAAGGAACGCCCGUGGCGAAAGCGAGGUCCUGGACGUGUACUGACGCUGAGACGCGAAAGCUAGGGGA